This 497-nucleotide ribosomal RNA is filed under the name uncultured bacterium. RNAcentral describes it as "partial 16S ribosomal RNA". It matches the Rfam family "Bacterial small subunit ribosomal RNA", at positions 28 to 507 of the family's 1533-position model. The record is from RNAcentral.
GAUGAACGCUGGCGGCGUGCCUAAUACAUGCAAGUCGAGCGAACAGACGAGGAACUUGCUCCUUUGACGUUAGCGGCGGACGGGUGAGUAACACGUAGGUAACCUACCUAUAAGACUGGGAUAACUUCGGGAAACCGGAGCUAAUACCGGAUAAUAUUUCGAACCGCAUGGUUCGAUAGUGAAAGAUGGCUUUGCUAUCACUUAUAGAUGGACCUGCGCCGUAUUAGCUAGUUGGUAAGGUAACGGCUUACCAAGGCAACGAUACGUAGCCGACCUGAGAGGGUGAUCGGCCACACUGGAACUGAGACACGGUCCAGACUCCUACGGGAGGCAGCAGUAGGGAAUCUUCCGCAAUGGGCGAAAGCCUGACGGAGCAACGCCGCGUGAGUGAUGAAGGUCUUCGGAUCGUAAAACUCUGUUAUUAGGGAAGAACAAACGUGUAAGUAACUGUGCACGUCUUGACGGUACCUAAUCAGAAAGCCACGGCUAACUACGUG